RNAcentral lists this unclassified non-coding RNA (2330 nucleotides) under Acyrthosiphon pisum (pea aphid). Its description in RNAcentral is "hormone-sensitive lipase, transcript variant X3". Lineage: Eukaryota; Metazoa; Arthropoda; Insecta; Hemiptera; Aphididae. The record is from RNAcentral.
GUGGCUUAGUACAAAAGUAAAAAAAAAAACGAUAGAAAAAGAACAAUAAUAAUAAUAAUUAUUGAACAUUUACGACUGACUACUGAAUAAUAACUUUUAAAUUUUUGAUUUAAAGCUUAAAAAUAAUUUUAAAUUUAGUGUAGACUGUUAAACGUAGAAUGCGGAUACGUUAUGCAUUACUGCGGGUCGCGGGUCGCGGACGUCAGACGCCUAGGUCUACUAAAGGUUUACAAUGUUAAGUCUGAUAGUUGAAAAUUAUACAUGAAUACUUUGUACUUACAUUAUUCUUCAUUUUUUUAGUUUGUCGUUUGUGGAACUUUAUAUAGUAUAUUAUUAUUAUGGCAACAUUAGUGGAAACAGAUGAUAGUACAUUAUCAUAUGAAAAACUUAAAAACUUAUGUAAAGAAAAUGUUAUUUAUUUUACUAAUAACGAAAGAAAUGGUUCGACUGCCAUGGCUAAUUGUUUUGAACAACUGCUUCAAAAUAUUGAUAAUAUAAAACCUUUGGUUUUUGAAUUGCGUAAUGUCUGUCAUUUAUAUGAUUUUGAUCCAUCUGUACCUGGUAAUGGAUAUCGAAGUUAUGUCACAGUUGUUGAUUUAUUUAUUGCCCAUUGCAUUAAAAUUUGUAAUCAAAUGGCCGUCAAUCGUGAUUCAUUUUUUUUCCGUAAAACAUUUUAUACAAAAGAGAUUGAAUCAUGUAACCAAGUGAUGAGUGCGUUGGUAUUGUGCUUAGAAAACUUAUGUCUUUUAAUUGGUUGGAGUGAACCAGGAAUGUUAUUUGCUGGAAAUGAUACUGCAGCAUUAGAACUCAUGAUGAAAAUUGAACCAUCUAAACUAUGCCCUUUUUAUGGGCGCUGUUUGGCUUUUCAAUUUAAUGAGUCACUACAGCCUGCUUUGAAAACUAUUGCUAUAAUGAUGGCUGCUUUUAGUGAAGUCUACUAUAAUGAAAAUGGCAUGUUGGCUAGGGCUAAUACUGCAUGGAAUUGUAGCAAAUAUAUGUUAAAUCCAGAAUUGAGAGCUCGUAGAAUUGUUAAUGUCAUUCAGUAUUCUUCAAUAGAAUUUUACAAAGCAUUUUUAUUCCUUGGUGAAACUGAACUGUUAAAAAGUUUACCGAACCUAGUUUCUCCUGCGGUAGCUAUAAAUCGGUUAAUAGCAAUUCCUAGCAAAUCAUUUUUUUACUUGAAACCAGAUGGAGAAUUAUUUGAACUUCAGCCUCCUUUAUGCCAUAUUGGACCUGCUGCCCUAAAUGCUCGACUAAUUGCAAAAACUAAACGUGAAGGCAUGUUGGCAGAAAAUCCCGGAAGCGGGGUGCUACCAGAACCAUGUGAAAAUCUUAUCAUUCACUGCCAUGGAGGUGGUUUUGUAUCUCAAAGUUCAAGUUCUCACGAAUCAUAUUUAAGAGAUUGGGCAGUUCGUUUAGACAUUCCCAUAUUGUCUAUUGAUUAUUCUCUAGCACCGAGAGCACCAUAUCCUAGAGCUAUGGAAGAACUAUUAUUUGCUUACAUUUGGGCAUUAAGUAAUGCAGCUUAUUUGGGUUCUACUGCUAAACGUGUCAUAAUGGCAGGUGACUCGGCUGGAGGAAAUUUAAGUGCUUGUGUAGCAUUAAAAUGUAUAGAAAUGGGUUUCAGAAUACCUGACAGCUUAUUUUUGGCAUAUUUUCCUUGUGCAAUAGCUUGGUCUCCAACACCUGCAAGAUUUCUGAGUUUAAUAGAUCCACUAAUACCUCUAGGUUUUAUGACUAAUUGUUUGAAGGCCUAUGCUUGUUCUCCUGACAUCUAUCAAGAUAGUUUGUAUGAGUAUAAAUUGAAAAAUAUGGCGAAACCAAAAGAUGGCACUAAUGAAGGCUUUAUAGAAGAAGUUGAAUCUAGUGAAGAAGCUCUAGAGUUAAUACAAAACACCAACGAUGAUAGUCAAUCAGUAAUAACUCCAGUUGAAGAAGUUAUUAUGGCUGCACAUGAACGAAGACAAUCCAGACGAUUCUCAACAAUAUUGACAGAAACAGCAGAAAAUAUAAGUUCUGCUAUUACCACCACAUUCAUUACACUAACUGGAGGAACAGCUGAAGAAGAUAUUAGACAGUACACAUGGAUCCAUGCUUAGAUGAUUGCGUUAUGUUUGCUAAACGGUUAAAAGAACUUGGGAAAAAAGUGAAUAUGGAUAUUCUAAAAGGAUUACCUCAUGGCUUUUUAAAUUUAGCUAUUACCUGCAAAGAAGCGCAUGAAGGAUCAGUAUUGUGUGCUCAACGUAUCGCAGAUUUAUUUAAAGAAAUUGAAAUAUGUGAAUGUUAGUACUCUUUUUGAAUCUCAUUUCAUAAAAAAUAAUUUAAUGAAU